GACGAACGCUGGCGGCGUGCCUAAUACAUGCAAGUAGAACGCUGAAGAGAUGAGCUUGCUCUUCUUGGAUGAGUUGCGAACGGGUGAGUAACGCGUAGGUAACCUGCCUUGUAGCGGGGGAUAACUAUUGGAAACGAUAGCUAAUACCGCAUAACAAUGGAUGACACAUGUCAUUUAUUUGAAAGGGGCAAUUGCUCCACUACAAGAUGGACCUGCGUUGUAUUAGCUAGUAGGUGAGGUAAUGGCUCACCUAGGCGACGAUACAUAGCCGACCUGAGAGGGUGAUCGGCCACACUGGGACUGAGACACGGCCCAGACUCCUACGGGAGGCAGCAGUAGGGAAUCUUCGGCAAUGGGGGCAACCCUGACCGAGCAACGCCGCGUGAGUGAAGAAGGUUUUCGGAUCGUAAAGCUCUGUUGUAAGUCAAGAACGGGUGUGAGAGUGGAAAGUUCACACUGUGACGGUAGCUUACCAGAAAGGGACGGCUAACUACGUG
RNAcentral lists this ribosomal RNA (497 nucleotides) under uncultured bacterium. RNAcentral describes it as "partial 16S ribosomal RNA". It matches the Rfam family "Bacterial small subunit ribosomal RNA", at positions 28 to 507 of the family's 1533-position model. The record is from RNAcentral.